Non-coding RNA from Podarcis lilfordi (Lilford's wall lizard), 173 nucleotides. NCBI's taxonomy places the organism in Eukaryota, Metazoa, Chordata, Lepidosauria, Squamata, Lacertidae. The record is from the annotation of a GenBank genome assembly.
CAGGGUGUGGUCCACCCUAGGUGUCACCACUGAGGGGGGUGACAAAAUGCCGGGUGGCACGCAUUGCAGGGCCUGCAAGACGUGUGGCUCGGGUGCUGCAGACCCUGCGAUGCAUGCCACCCGGCAUUUUGUCACCCCCCCUCAGUGGUGACACCCGGGGUGGACUGCACCCA